CAGUGACAAGUUGACAACACAGUGUAUAUGCGAGUGAAGUCACAAAUUGGAAAUUCCAGUGACAACACAGUGUAUAUGCGAGUGAAGUCACAAAUACUAAAUCACCAUUCGAUUAAGUGUCAUAGCUUGAAUUAUUGCAUAAAUUAUCACAACGGAUCGCAUAAAUCGACACAAGACACCCAAAUAACAAAUUACUAAAGGUAGAAGCGAUUUCUCCAUCUGAAUCUUCCGAAUUCAUUGCCUUGGAUCCAGCAGACAAUCUCAAGCCAUCUUCAUCCCUGAGAAGUACAUAUCCAGGCACUGGGACUUGAAUUUCUUAGCAUCUCCUGGUUCUGCAUACCUUUUGCUUUUUUUUAUCAUGUGGGAGUUAGAAUUAAUUCCUGCACCACGCACACCAGAUUCAAUUACCAAACACUCCUGCUCCAUGCAGCUUCGAACAGCACAUGGUGUUAAGUAAGAGUUACAUUAUUACUGCCAGAAACCACAGUACAGCAUGACAAUUAACAGACAACAUAAACAGGUUUUGCAUACAUUGUUAGCUAACAAUGUUUUAGUAAUAAUACUAUCUACUUGGUUUUACAUACCAUCAGAAGAGUGGGCCCACAAGCCCUAGGCUAUUUUCCACCAAAAUUUUCACCAAAAUGAAUGAUUGACCUGCCCACGUGUGCAUAGACGAUCUGUUCACAAACUUCCACUCCAAGCAAGAAUCCAAUAGCGGCAGAUAUAAUACUGACCAUUACCCACAACCCUUUCCUUUUCAGCCCAUUGAUGAUGUUCUCCCUAUCAAAAGGAUGUGCAUAGUGCAUUUACGUUAGGAUCGUUUCAUUUGAGUACAAAUCAAAUAAGUUGUAGUGCCUCCAAUUAAUUACCUCUCAGCUUCAGCUUUAAUUCUAGUUAAAUCAUCAUCAAUAAUACUAGCUAUCUCGUCAUCUAUCUCCACUCCCUCUUCUUUUAAAUUUGUCAAUAUAUGUUCAACCUCCUUCGCCUUCCUAGCAACAUUAGCUCUAGCUCCAUUGCCAGAUCCACCCUGCUAGGAUAAAGUAGAGAAAUAAAGUUUAUAUGGUGCGGUAAUGCAUAAGCUAAAACAGCUAUUCAUGUAUGUUAGUGGAUGCAAUGGAGAGAGCAUGGCUGGCAAUUCGCUAACAAUAGUCCUUUCAGAAUCCAUACUAUGAAACUUUUAAACGUUUGACCAGUUGUAUGCCUAAAGCUAUCAAGAUUGACUAUAUGAAAUUUUAUAUUACUAGACUUGUUUUGGAAGUACAAGUUAGAACAUCAUUGAUAUAGAAGUUAUAAAAUAGGGGCACCCGCCCUGCCCCUCACCACACACCACCCAAAUAAAUUGAAUGCCAUUAUACCAUGGAAUUAACGAAAGAAGUCCACUUAACCCCCUAGGAUUUCACAAACCGGCCCAUUUACCCCCUCAGGUCUAAAACCGGGUAUUUAACCCCUGUUCUUUCCUAUACCAGGUGAAUCACCCCUAGCACCGAUCAGAGUGGUUUUCCAGGCGGUUUUGAAGGUUGCGAGUGCCAGGUCGACAUAGUUCCUCUGCCCACCUUUCUGCCAUCACAUGUUGCUCAGGUCAUCCCACCCAAACCACAUGCAUCGUUGAGGUACUGUUCGGCAGCAGCACCAGCCAGCAGCCAGCCACGAGGAAGUUCGGCCCGGCGUGGUUCACGAAGCGCCUUUCGUAGAGCUCUGCCCGCCUCUGCCUCUGGUAAAGAAAAUGGUGUGUCAAUGUGAUAGCAAUUUGGCAAGGCUCCCGGUUCCUUGGAAGCACCAGCUCCUUGUUCGGCAUCGGGCUCUAGAAAGCAUGCACAUGCGACUAUGGUUUGGCUCGCAUGCAAUCUCGACUUGCCACCGAACCUCUCGUGCGUGGUCGUCGUCGUAGUCGCCUCGGCAGCGCUCUUGCCAGUCACGUCCGCUUCGUCCUCCGUGGUAUCGAGCUGGCGCCCAUGCCGCCGGCAGCUGUUGAGAUCCACUAUUAGUUACUAAACACGGUUAGUCAUGUCCAUCUCAGACAUGGUGGCACGUACUUCUUGUGUCUAUGUGCGUGCUUGUCCAGGUCUCCAGGAGGGAAGCAGGUCUACACUUGUGUAUUAUCUUCGUUGGAGCUUGCAUUCACGCGUGAUCUGGACCUUGUAUCAACAUCAAGAAGUUUGUCCGCCUCGCCGGCGACUCGCUCCAGUUCCUCGCUGCUUCCCGCGUCCAUAUCCUGCUUGUCACCGUCGUCAAUGACCUCGACCGCCCCACCAUCAUUCGCCACAGAGAGCUUCAGUACGGCAGCCGGUAGUGUGCGACGAUCCCUUGCAAGAACUUGCUCAGUUGGCGGGUUGUGCCGGUGGGUGCACCCCAGCACGGCAGCCGCGGUUGCACAGCACUAACGCGACGGCGUAGACGUCUGGAAGAAUCCCUCGAACCGCGGCGGCAUACGCUGGGAAACCUGGAGACGUGGAGGGUGACGUCGAGAUGCACACAAUUAGAAUAGCGGGACUAGGCGAGCGCCCGCGAGUGGAACGACGCCGCUCGUGCUCGGAGGAGGAUGGACGAGGCUUGGUGCAGAACGGUCAGAAACGAGCUGCAUCUCGCUAUGUCCAACAAAACCGCCUGAAAAACUACUCUAAUCGGUGUUAGGGUGUGAUUCACCUGGUUCAGGAAAGAUCAGGGAGUUAAAUAGCUGGUUUUUGACCUUAGGGGGUAAGCUGGCCAGUCUGUGAAAUCCCAGGGGUUAUCUGGACUUCUUUCUGGAAUUAACUGUUCAUCAUAUCUGCUUCAGUAGAAACAAAUUAUCACCACCUUUUUCAAGCAAAAGUAACAAAUUUAGCAAAUGUCUCUAAGAUAGGCCUCCUCUGCAAAGGAGGUUACUAUGCAUAUUUUUAAGUGGCAAUAUUCACCAUUAUUGGCUUAAUUGCAGAAACCCUCUGCUGACAAAGGUCUGAAGAAGGUACUUGCAUCAAAAGCCCUAUUUUCUGGGGAAAAUACACAUGGCGAAGCAUAUACUAUGUUGGUAUAAAAACUGUUUGAUCGGGGCCUACUGGUUAAUUUGGUGAUAGACGAUGGAUCUCAUCACAACUAGGUAGUCGGACAGCGAGUUGCAGGCAUCGUAGGUGGAUCAAUCGAACGAGAGCGGAACUAGGUACCUGAGAGGUGGAAGGCUGAGAGUCUGCCGGCGGCGAAGCACGAGAGCCCACAUCCUGCCGUUGAGUGCUGGAGAGAGAGCGGAGCGCCAUGAUGGCACCGACAUGCCGCAAAAAUUCAGAGGAGGAAGGGGCGUCGGCUAAGGCCUUCUACAAUGGGAGAUGCUUUGAGGGGUGCUUAGAAAAACAAACCGAGAUUUUCUGAAGCACCGGUGCCUAUUUCUACAGGAGAGACGCUUAGUUAAGCGUCUACCCUGUACAAAUAAACACCGGUGCUUAAGAAAAACCUGGUUUAUUUCUCUAAGCACCUUUCUUAAGCACCUCCAAUUGUACAAGCCUAAAGGUUGCUAGGGUUCGGAUGCGGGGUGCUUCCUCGGUCUGGGGCCUCGUGUUUGUGAGAGGAGGGCAAGCCGAGAGCGUUGCCUUUUGUUGGCGAACUCUUUUUUUAGUUCAAUAUAGGGGAGCUUCUAUUUGACACAUUUUGCGUCAAAUAGCCUCACAGCGCACGCACGGACCCGACUAGACAUGCCCAUUGAUGAGAAAGACAUUGGAAAAUGAGGAGUGCGCAAGGAUAAGAAUUACUCCUCUGUCCCAUAAUAUAAAACGUUUUUUAUACUACACUAGUGUUAAAAAGCAUCUUACAUUAUGGAAUGGAGGGAGUACUAUACAUAUAAUAACAACGCACAAACGAAUCAAUCUGUAGUUGGAUGGUUAGAAGGACAGUGCUAUCCCCAGCCCAUCAGAGUUCAAGUUCUAUUGCUCGCUCGCAUUUUUCUGGAUUUAUUUCAGGAUUUCUGGCGAUGCGUGUUCAGUGGAAGGAGACGUUCCCGUCAACUACGAGGCGCCUAUGGUGACUUUAUCAAUCUCAAGAUGAUAUGUUGGCUCAGUCUCUCGAAGGUGCUCAUAGGGAUGAGUGUAUAAACAUUUUUUCAAAUGCAAAUGCGUUCUAAAAAUCCUGAGAUUUUUUUGAAACCAAGAACAAAUUGAAAGUCCGAACAACAAAUGUGAAUUUUCUUUUACUUUUGUGAAAAAAAAUAAAAUGGAGAAAACAUUGAAAAUCCUAAAAAAAUGAAUACAUGAACAAAUAUUUGAAAAGGCGAACAUUUUGUGCAUAUGUGAACAAUUUUUUAAACUCCGAACAAAGUUCGGAAAGGCCAACAUUCUUGAAUUUGUGAACAAAAGUUGAAAAUAAGAACAUUUUUUUGAGCUUUUCGACAAUUUUUGAAAAGCAAGGAUAUAUUUCAAAUUCCCAAACAUUUUUUGAAAAUUGAACAUUUCUCGAAUUUUGAACAAAAUUUGAAACCAAUAGCAUCUUUUGAAGUUCUGAACAGUUUAUGAAAACAAAAAUAUUUUUUUAAAUUUAGAAACAUUUUUCACAAAAAAGGAUUUUUUGAAAAAAAGGAAAAAGAAAGGAAAAUGAGAGAAAAGAAAAAAUAAACAGAGAAAACUAAGAAGAAAAAAGAAAAAAUGGCUCAAGAACCUCCUGGAAGGUUCCCAAAACCGAAGUAACCGUCUACAAGGUUUCCAAAACUGGUAAAAACCAGUACAAAAAAACACACACUAAGGAUGCUGAAUGAGUUGGCCCACUAUGUGUCCUAGCUUGCUUCUUCUAUGCGUUUGGUCGACAACUUGAUGUAAUGAGCAUCAAUUCCCUUUUGUAACUCUUGGUGGACUCUAGCAAACCUGACCAAGCGCGUAGGCACGGCCCAACCCACACUUAAACGUGACACGCAUGACAAGGCCCGUCUAGGCACGUUUACAAGUUGGUUAUAUCAUGCCGGCACAUAGGCCUCGCUCCUACGCCUAGGCACGGCACAGGUAUUAAACAAUCCAACUCGUGCUUGCUCUCUCAUUAUAGUGGUUGUGUAACCCCCCCAAAUGUGAGGGCACAGUAACCUAACAAUAAAUAUUUCUCUUAGUAAAGAAUCAAGAUUUAUCGAACCAGUUCUUCUAAAAAACAAAGUCAUUGAUACCUGCACACAAAACACUGGACAAAUUUGUCCUCGACACGUCAAUAAGGUUGUCAAGCUUCUUGUCUUUGCUAGUUACAAGAUUCAAUUGCAUGGUAUGGUAGGAAUUACUAGAUAGGAGAAGAUAAAAUAAAAAGAAAUGAUAAAGCAAGGGCAUACUAUUUUUGGUAAAGUUUUAAGUACAAGAAGAUAGACCCCCGGGGCCAUAGGUUCACAAGUGACAUUUCUCCAAGCAUACAAGUAUGGUGUGGUGAAUAAAUUACAGUUGGGCAGUGAUUAAAUUGCAAUAUCUAUGUUUAUGACUAUCAUCUCAUGGUAUAAUCUCGUAUAGACAUUAUGUCUGUGAUAUGUAGACCGUUAUCUAACCGCAUCUACAACUAAUAUGCAACCCCAAGACCGGUAUACAGCAUGCAUCUUGGAGUAUUAAGGUCCCUAGCAAACAGAGCAUUGCAAUAAGUAUGAUGACAUAAUGUAGGCACUAAAACUAUCGUCCAAAUGUGAUAAAAAUCAUUGUUUUAUCCAUAGUGGAAAUAAUACAAUACAUAUCUUGUCCAUUUCUAUCUCUGGAACAUAGAUCACCGCAAGAUAUGAACCAAUCACAAUGCAUAACCCCCUUUGAAGAACUACCCAUCAAACUUGGACAAAGAAGACAAAUAGAUUGGAGAACAUACAAAGCUAUUUAAUUAUACAACAAAGAAACUUAAAAUGAUUCAAUUAAUUUCAAUAAACAAUCUGACCAUAAAGUAACAAUUCAUCAUAUCCAACAAACACACCACCAAUUACAUCAUAUGGACCCCAAUCAUGUGAGGUAACUCACUGGAACUUUGUAUUGAAUCAAAGAGGAGGGAGGGUGUCAUCUAGCUACUGCUAUGGACCCUAAGGUCCUAAAGGAACUACUCACACAUGGUCAGGGAAGCAACAAGGUUGACGAAGAAGCCUUCGGUGAUGAAUUCCCCCUCCAGCAGGAUGUCGGAAUAGGCUUCCAGAUUGGAUCUCCUAGGAAUAGAAACUUACAGCGGUGGAAAAAAUCCGAGAAAAAUGGUGUGAAAGGUUUCUCGAUGUAUGAAAUUUAUAGGCGGAAGAAUGGAUGGAAAGCGGUGGCCAAGGACCCCAUGCUGGUGGCAUCCAGGUCGCGCCACCUGGCCGCGUAGGGGCCUAGGGUGGCCCUGGCCCCUCCCGACACUUUUUGCAACCGUCUGGACUAGGAAAAUUCAUAUUAAAUACUUGUCAUAUUUUGAUCUUUGUAGAUAUAGAUUUUCUAGAAAACCAAAACAUGCAGAAAACAACAGUUGUCUCUGCGAACUAGAUUAAUAGGUUAGUCUAGAAAAAUAAUAUAAAUUACUGUGAAAAGCAUUCAAAAGUGAUAUUAUAAUAACAUUAAACAACCAAAAAUUAUAGAUACGUAUGAGAUGUAUCAUCAUCGCAAGCUUAAUCUCUGCUCGACCUGGUGUAGGUGGAUGAUAAAAAGAUAUUUUUUAUGUAAAAUACUACCUAGCAUAAUCUUGAUCAAAUGAUGUAGUGUGUUAUGUGUUGGGUAACGUAGCAUGCAAUUUCAAAAAAAAUCCUAAGCUCGUGCAAGAUCUAUCUAGGAGAUGCAUAGCAACGAGAUGGGGAGAGUGUGCCUACGUACCCUCGUAGACCGAAAGCGGAAGCGUUAUGUUAACGCGGUUGAUGUAGUUGCACAUCUUCACAAUCCAAUCAAUCCAAGUACCGAACGUACGGCACCUCCGUGUUCAGCACACGUUCAGCUUGAUGACGUCCCUCGAGCUUUUGAUCCAGUAGAGGGUCGAGGGAGAGUUCCUUCAGCACGACGGCAUGGCGACGGUGUCAGUGAUGUGAUCCGCGCAGGGCUUCGCCUAAGCACUAUGACAUUAUGACCAGAGGAGUAAACUGUGGAGGGGGGCACCGUACAUGGCUAAGAAGCAACUGUUGUGUCCUUGGGGUGCCCCCUGGCCACGUAUAUAAAGGAGGGGGGAGAGAGGCCGGCGGCCAGGGGGCCGCGCCAUGGGGGGAGUCCUACUUGGACUCCUAGUCCAAGUAGGAUCCCCCCUUUCCUUUCUUCCACUGAAGGGAAUAUGAAGGAGAGGGAGAGGGAAAGGGAAGGGGGGCGUCGCCCCCUCCUCCUUGUCCUAUUCAGACUCUCAAGGAGCGGGGCGCACGGCCACCCCCGCGGGCUUCCCUCUCUCUCCCUUAGGCCCAUGUUGGCCCAACACUUCCCUGGGGGUUUCGGUAACCCCUCGGCACUCCGGAAAAAUACCCGAAUCACUAGGAACCAUUCCGAUGUCCGAAUACUACCUUCCAACAUGUGAAUCUUUACCUCUUGACCAUUUCGAGACUCCUCGUCAUGUCCAUGAUCUCAUUCGGGACUCCGAACAAAUUUCGGUCACCAAAACACAUAACUCAUAAUACAAAUCGUCAUCGAACAUUAAGCGUGCGGACCCUACGGGUUCGAGAACUAUGUAGACAUGACCGAGACACAUCUCCGGUCAAUAACCAAUAGCGGAACCUGGAUGCUCAUAUUGGCUCCUACAUAUUCUACGAAGAUCUUUAUCAGUCAAACCGCAUAACAACAUACGUCAUUCCCUUUGUCAUCGGUAUGUUACUUGCCCGAGAUUUGAUCUUCGCUAUCCUCAUACCUAGUUCAAUCUCGUUACCGGAAAGUCACUUUACUCGUUCUGUAAUGCAUCAUCCCGCAACUAACUCAUUAGUCACAUUGCUUGCAAGGCUUAUAGUGAUGUGCAUUACCGAGAGGGCCUAGAGAUACCUCUCCGAUACACAGAGUGACAAAUCCUAAUCUUGAUCUAUGCCAACUCAACAAACACCUUCGGAGACACCUGUAGAGCAUCUUUAUAAUCACCCAGUUACGUUGUGACGUUUGAUAGCACACAAAGUGUUCCUCUGGUAUUCGGGAGUUGCAUAAUCUCAUAGUUAGAGGAAUAUGUAUACAUCAUGAAGAAAGCAAUAGCAAUAAAACUAAAUGAUCAUAAUGCUUAAGCUAACGGAUGGGUCUUGUCCAUCACAUCAUUCUCUAAUGGUGAUCAUGUUCAUCAAAUGACAACACAUGUCUAUGGUUAGGAAACUUAACCAUCUUUGAUUAACGAGCUAGUCAAGUAAAGACGUACUAGGGACACUCAGUUUUGUCUAUGUAUUCACACAUGUACUAAGUUUCCGGUUAAUACAAUUCUAGCAUGAAUAACAAACAUUUAUCAUGAUAUAAGGAAAUAUAAAUAACAACUUUAUUAUUGCCUCUAGGGCAUAUUUCCUUCAAUCUCCCACUUGCACUAGAGUCAAUAAUCUAGAUUACAUAGUAAUGAUUCUAACACCCAUGGAGUCUUGGUGUUAAUCAUGUUUUGCUCGUGAGAGAGGCUUAGUCAACGGGUCUGCAACAUUCAGAUCUGUAUGUAUCUUACAAAUCUCUAUGUCUCCCUCCUUGACUUGAUCGCGGAUGGAAUUGAAGCGUCACUUGAUGUGUUUGGUUCUCUUGUGUAAUCUGGAUUCCUUCGUCAAGGCAAUUGCUCCAGUAUUGUCACAAAAGAUUUUCAUUGGACCCGAUGCACUAGGUAUUACACCUAGAUCGGAUAUGAACUCCUUCAUCCAGACUCCUUCAUUUGCUGCUUCCAAAGCAGCUAUGUACUCCGCUUCACAUGUAGAUCCUGCCACGAUGCUUUGCUUGGAACUGCACCAACUGACAGCUCCACCAUUCAAUAUAAAUACGUAUCCGGUUUGUGACUUAGAGUCAUCUGGAUCAGUGUCAAAGCUUGCAUCGACAUAACCAUUUACGACAAGUUCUUUGUCACCUCCAUAAACGACAAACAUAUCCUUAGUCCUUUUCAGGUAUUUCAGGAUGUUCUUGACCGUUUUCCAGUGAUCCACUCCUGGACUACUUUGGUACCUCCCUGUUAAACUUAUAGCUAGGCACACAUCAGGUCUGGUACAUAGCAUUACAUACAUGAUAGAACCUACGACUGAGGCAUAGGGAAUGACUUUCAUUUUCUCUCUAUCUUCUGUAGUGGUCUGAUACGUCUCCAACGUAUUUAUAAUUUUUUAUUGUUCCAUGCUAUUAUAUUAUAUGUUUUGGAUGUUUAAUGGGCUUUAAUAUGCAUUUUUAUAUUAUUUUUGGGACUAACCUAUUAAUCGAACGCCCAGUGCAAAAUGUUGUUUUUUUGCCUAUUUUAGUGUUUCACAGAAAAGGAAUAUCAAACGGAAUCCAAACGGAAUGAAACCUUCGCGAGGAUCUUUCUUGGAACAAACGCAACCCAGGAGACUUGGAGUACAAGUCUGGAAGUCCGCGAAGCUUCCACAAGGCAGGGGGUGCGCCCAGGGGGGUAGGCGCGCCCCCCACCCUCGUGGGCCCAACCCACUUCUUUCGCCUAUAUAUACUCUUAUACCCUAAAAACAUCCAGGAGAUCCCACGAAACCAUUUCUCCACCAACGCAACCUUUUGUACCCGUGAGAUCCCAUCUGGGGCCUUUUUCGGCGAUCUGCCGGAGGGGGAUUCGAUCACGGAGGGCUUCUACAUCAACACCAUAGCCUCUCCAAUGAUGUGUGAGUAGUUUACCACAUACCUUCAGGUCCAUAGUUAUUAGCUAGAUGGCUUCUUCUCUAUCUUUGGUUCUCAAUACAAAGUUCCCCUCGAUGUUCUUGGAGAUCUAUUUGAUGUAAUACUCUUUUGCGGUGUGUUUGCUGAGAUCCAAUGAAUUCUGGGUUUAUGAAUUUGAUUAUCUAUGAACAUUAUUUGGUUCUUCUCUGAAUUCUUAUAUGCAUGAUUUGAUAUCUUUGCAAGUCUCUUCGAAUUAUCGGUUUAGUUUGGCCUACUAGAUUGAUCUUUCUUGCAAUGGGAGAAGUGCUUAGCUUUGGGUUCAAUCUUGCAUGUCCUUUCCCAGUGACAGCAGGGGCAGCAAGGCACAUCUUGUAUUGUUGCCCUCGAGGAUAAAAAUAUGGGAUUUAUAUCAUAUUGCUUGAGUUUAUCCCUCUACAUCAUGUCAUCUUGCCUAAUGUGUUACUCUGUUCUUAUGAACUUAAUACUCUAGAUGCAUGCUGGAUAGCGGUUGAUGUGUGGAGUAAUAGUAGUAGAUGCAGAAUCGUUUCGGUCUACUUGACACGGACGUGAUGCCUAUAUUCAUGAUCAUUACCUUAGAUAUCAUCAUAACAAUGUGCUUUUCUAUCAAUUGCUCGGCAGUAAUUUGUUCACCCACCGUAAUAUAUGCUGAGAGAAGCCACUAGUGAAACCUAUGGCCCCCGGGUCUACUUUACAUCCUAUAAGUUUCCAAUCUAUAGUUCUAGUUUACUAUUUAUUUUGAAAUCUUUAUUUUCCAAUCUAUACAACAAAAAUACCAAAAAUAUUUAUCUUAUUAUCUUUAUCAGAUCUCACUUUUGCAAGUGGCCGUGAAGGGAUUGACAACCCCUUUAUUGCGUUGGUUGCAAGGUUCUUGAUUGUUUGUGCAGGUACUAGGCGACUUGCGUGUAGUCUCCUACUGGAUUGAUACCUUGGUUCUCAAAAACUGAGGGAAAUACUUACACUACUUUGUUGCAUCACCCUUUCCUCUUCAAGGGAAAACCAACACAUGCUCAAGAGGUAGCAAGAAGGAUUUCUGGCGCUGUUGUCGGGGAGAUCUACGCUCAAGUCAAGACAUACCAAGUACCCAUCACAAACUCUUAUCCCUUGCAUUACAUUAUUUGCCAUUUGCCUCUCGUUUUCCUCUCCACCGCUUCACCUUUGCCGUUUUAUUCACCUUUUUUCCGUUCGCCUCUUUUUCGCUUGCCUCUUGUGUGUCCGUGUGAUAGAUCGUUUAUUUGCCCUCAUGGCUAGUUCUCCUAUCAUUGUUAACACUCCCGAUAAUGAAGUUCUUAAUUUUAAACAAAGGGAGGGAGAAAAUAUAAAAUAUGCUUGGUAUAGAAUUUGCAAUGCUCAAAACAGACCUAGUAAAAAGCAAUCUACUGUCGUUUUUCUUCGCAAUUUUUACGUAGGCAUCACUCCUUGGUAUAGAUAUGUUCUUGAUACCAUUACCGGAGGGAAUUUCUUGGGUAGCCAUACUUUUGAUUCUUAUAAUGCUAUGGCAGAUUUGUUAGGCCCACCACCUCUUUUGGUCAAUGGAACUAUUUUAACUUUGGAACAUGUGAUGCAAAGGCUUGAUAUUAUUGAAAAUAAAAUUGCCAUUGUAGAGUUAAUUGAAAAUUUGGAUAAAAAGAUCCAAAACCAAAUUACUCAAUAUGGAUCUAAGGUAGGAGUUACUCUGAAAAAUCUUAAGGAAAAGGAACCCAUAGUCAAUGAAAAGAUAGAUCAAGAUUCCACUAGAAUUGAUAAACUUGAAGAAACUAUUACCAACUUGGGGUCCGCUUUUUCUGCCGUUAAAAACACCUCAAAUCCUCCUCCUACCAAAGUUGCCAAAUUUAUCUAUGUUCCUAUAAAUAAGGGUGAAUCUUCUAGUAAGAAAAAUGAAGAUCUCAAAUCAAUAACUGUUCACCCCGACUUUUUAGAUAUCAUUAAGGAACCUUUUGCUACAAAUGAUUUUCUUGAUUUCCUACCUGGUAGUUUGAUCAUUUGCAAAAACAAUGACAUAGACCGAACCUCGAUGGCGAGAUUCGAUCUGUUAUUGCGGCCCGAUCUUUCACGACACUUCUCCUUCAACAGUAGCAACCUCUCGCCCGCGCACACGAUGUACACGAAAUAGAGGGUUUGAACCUUGUGGCUCAGCACGAGAAAACCAAUCUCGACGACGGUACUCACGCGCAAAACAAUUUUCUCACAUAGAAAUCGCAACACAAAGGUUUUCUAAAGCUUCCUCCAAAACUUAGGGAUUUUUAGACAGCUUCCCCCAAAACUCGAUACGGGUAUUUACCCUAAAAAGACAUCGUGUCUAUUCAUAAAAAUAUAACCUACCUAUUACAUGGCCGCACCUGGCUUUAUAUAAUAGCCAACUAGACCUAGACUUAGAAAGCAAGAAAAACAAACGUACGUAAAUAAACUGAACAACUCUGCCUUUUACAUCUCGGCUGAAUUUAAUUAUAUAAACUAUAAUCUGGUGUGCCAUGUUAAUCUGAUUUGAUGGAGGUGGACCCCAGCCCAAGUUGGACAAAGAGAACAUAUCACUUAACAAUUUACAAGUCCUCCGUCCUGCAAACUCUCGAUGUGGCAGAAAUAAAAAUAAGUAACGCCUCCUUCUCCUAUUCUUUUUGAAAGAACGUGACUUCCCAUAAUUCUCAAACAGGACCUCUUCAAGACUAUAUCCACCAACGUGACUGACCCAGGCUUCAUGCUUCUCAUGCAUGCAUGGCUGUACGCAUAUGCAUCCAAGUUCCACUUUACAUUUACUAGCAAUUUCUUGAUCUAUAUGUAUAUACUUCGGUACAUAUGUGUCAUCAGUUUUCAAACUUGGCCCUAGAUACUCUGAUGUAUAUGCAGCGUAUUUUGGUGAACACCGCCUUCAGGCGAAACAUCAACGACCUCAGUUUUUAUAUUACAACGGGUCGUAUCAAACAAAGAACCUUCUAAAGGUUAUAAGUGUUCAAUUGAAGAAUUGCAUACCAAAGAUGACAAUACCUAGAUCUAUUCUUGCCUUUAUGCCUAGCUAGGGGCGUUAAACGAUAGCGCUUGUUGGGAGGUAAGCCAAUUUUAUUUUUGUUCCUUACUUUUUGUUUCUGUUUAGUAAUAAAUAAUUUAUCUAUCCUCUGUUAUGAUUGUGUUUUUUAUAUUUAAAUUAGUGUUUGUGCCAAGUAAAGCCUUUAGGAUCUUCUUGGGUGAUUGUCUUGCUGGAAAAAAUAGAAAGUAUGCGAUCACGAGAAUAAUUUUCUUUUUUUACUAGAGAGCGAUAAAAUACCAAUUCCAACUGCAUUAGAUAAAUCUACAAAUUAUUUAGGUCGUCCUAAUUUUUCAGAAUUUUUCGAGUUACAGAAGUAUUCGAAACCUCCAGAUUGCUACAGACUGUUCUGUUUUUGACAGAUUCAGUUUUUCGUGUGUUCUUUGCUUAUUUUGACGAAUCUAUGGCUAGUAUUGGGGGGUAUGAACCAUAGAGAAGUUGGAAUAUAGUAGGUUUAACACCAAUAUAAAUAAAGAAUAAGUUCAUUACAGUACCUUGAAGUAGUGAUUUAUUUUCUUGUACUAAUGGAGCUCAUGAGAUUUUCUGUUUAAGUUUUGUGUUGUGAAGUUUUCAAGUUUUUGGGUAAAGAUUUGAUGGAUUUUGGAACAAGGAUUGGCAAGAGCCUAAGCUUGGGAUGCCUCGGAAGGUAUCCCCUCUUUCAUCUUCGUCUAUCGGUAACCUUACUUGAGGCUAUAUUUUUAUUCACCACAUGAUAUGUGUUUUGCUUGAAGCGUCUUGUAUGAUUUGAGUCUUUGCUUUUUAGUUUACCAUAAUCAUCCUUGCUGUACACACCUUUUGGGAGACACACACAUGGAUUGGAAUAUAUUAGAAUACUCUAUGUGCUUCACUUAUAUCUUUUGAGCUAGAUAAUUUUGCUCUAGUGCUUCACUUAUAUAUUUUUAGAGCACGGUGGUGGUUUUAUUUUAUAGAAAUUAUUGAUCUCUCAUGCUUCACUUAUAUUAUUUUGAGAGUCUUUUAGAACAGCAUGGUAAUUUGCUUUGGCUAUAAAAUUAGUCCUAAUAUGAUAUGCAUCCAAGAUGGGUAUAAUAAAAACUUCCAUGUAGAGUGCAUUGAAUACUAUGAGAAGUUUGAUACUUGAUGAUUGUUUUGAGAUAUGAAGAUGAUGAUAUUAGAGUCAUGCUAGUUAAGUAAUUAUGAAAUUGAGAAAUACUUGUGUUGAGGUUUGCACAUCCCGUAGCAUGCAUGUAUGAUAACCGUUGUGUGACAAAUUCUAAGGAUGAGGUGUUCUUUGAUUGCCUUCCUUAUGAGUGGCGGUCGGAGACGAGCGAUGGUCUUUUCCUACCAAUCUAUCCCCCUAGGAGUAUGCGCGUAGUGCUUGGUUUUGAUGACUUGUAGAUUUGUGCAAUAAGUAUGUGAGUUCUUUAUGACUAAUGUUGAGUCCAUGGAUUAUACGCACUCUCACCCUUCCAUCAUUGAUAGCCUCUUCGGUAUCGUGCAUUGUCCUUUUUCACCUCGAGAGUUGGUGCAAACUUCGCCGGUGCAUCCAAACCCCGUGAUAUGAUACGCUCUUUCACACAUAAACCUCCUUAUAUCUUCCUCAAAACAGCCACCAUACCUACCUAUUAUGGCAUUUCCAUAGUCAUUCCAAAAUAUAUUGCCAUGCAACUUUUCACCGUUCCAUUUUUUAUGACACGCUCCAUCAUUGUCAUAUUUCCUUGCAUGAUCAUGUAGUUGACAUCGUAUUUGUGGCAAAGCCAUCGCUCAUAAUUUUUAUACAUGUCACUCUUGAAUCAUUGCACAUCCCGGUACACCACUGGAGGCAUUCAUAUUGAGUCAUAUUUUGUUCUAGUAUCGAGUUGUAAUUUUUGAGUUGUAAAUAAAUAGAAGUGUGAUGAUCAUCAAUAUUAGAGCAUUGAUACCUUUGCAAGUCUCUUCGAAUUAUCGGUUUAGUUUGGCCUACUAGAUUGAUCUUUCUUAUAAUGGGAGAAGUGCUUAGCUUUGGGUUCAAUCUUGCGGUGUCCUUUCCUAGUGAUAGUAGGGGCAGCAAGGCACAUAUUGUAUUGUUGCCAUCGAGGAUAAAAAUAUGGGAUUCAUUUCAUAUUGCUUGAGUUUAUCCCUCUACAUCAUGUCAUCUUGCCUAAUGCGUUACUCUGUUCUUAUGAACUUAAUACUCUAGAUGCAUGCUAGAUAGCAGUCGAUGUGUGGAGUAAUAGUAGUAGAUGCAGAAUCAUUUCGUUCUACUUCAUACGGACGUGAUGCCUAUAUUCAUGAUCAUUGCCUUAGAUAUCAUCAUAACUAUGCGCUUUUCUACCAACUAGAUGACUUGUCGCGCCAUUCGGCGCGCAAGACAAACUUGAACCAAGUACUAAAAGAGAUUCCUUUGCCUUUUUUUAGCAUACGGUUUUGAUGUAUACUUGUUUAUCAAGUGCUAUGAAUCAAUAUAGAAAUAUUUUGGAUUGUUUGUUGUGUAGGAAAGGCGAAAGCCCAAUUUAAACUAUGAACUGAAAGCAAUUAUUUUGAUGAACUUAGGAGUGCACGUGGGUUUUUAUCAUAUAAUGGCCUUGCUUUCGAGUGUAUAUGAUAUUGAAAGAACCCAAAUGUUUGAUAUCAUAGAUAGCCGUAUAUGAUAUUCAAGAAAAAUGAAGUACCAAUGACAGUGAGAAUAGGGACUUAUCCAUACCACCAUCUUUGUCAACAAGAACUUUUCUUUCCCUAAACUUCCUGAACCUUUAGCUUGUAUGGGUGCGAUAUUCUUGAAAUUCCAAAUUGUAUGAGAACAAUCAUGAUUAUUUAUGUAAAAAGGGGAUAUCUGUAUCUUCUGAUCUGGAAGUGUUAUAUAUGAUAAUAGUGUAACAAAUACACAUGUACAUGUACGCCUAGUAAGUUUACGGUUUACAGGACACACAUCGACCAAAUAUACAACAAAAGUUCACUUCUGAAUUUAGGCAAGCAACAUAAAGAACUCAUAUUAAGAUACAACCAACAACGUGUGCACAUACAAGAAACAUAUGCAUGUCAAUUCCAGAUAUUUGAAUGAACCUAAGUAAAAUGUUACAUGACCUUUUAUGAAAUUUAUACUAUACAAUGCUUAGGCUGUAGCAUUACCUGUUCCAUUUCCGUCAAAAGAACAAUCUGAACUCGGCCUACAGCUUUACACCAAAAACAAGAUCAAUAACUUGUAGGCAUCACACAAUGAACUUUGUAGCUACAGCAGGAGGUUUGUGCCCAAAUUAUGUACUUAAAUGAGCAGAAGCACACACACAAAUUAAUUUUUGGUCAAUAUUCAACCUGGUAGCAGAUAUAUCAUCAAAAUUCUCAGGUAUAUCAUUACAGUACUUAAUCCCCAUCGACAAUAUAUCAAUUAGAUUUAUAUCUUCGAACCUGCAACAAAUCUAGAAAUUAAAGAACAUUGUUCAAAGAAGAAGAUUUUAUAUAAGACAUGAAGAAUGUAAUAUUCUAACUAUAAAUACUCUCUUGCACACCAAAUAAGAUAGCCUUAUGCAGAACAUACGAACGUGAUAGUAGUGUUCAAGAGAGAGGGAGAGAUCACUUUGUUCAAACUUUUCAUCAAGAUUCACCCUCUUUUUUUCCUCAGGUCUGCACAUGUGUGUUUAAAAAACAUAAAUCAAGGAGGCUGCAUAUUGGCAACCUAGAUUGGGGACAUGUACCAUGGCCAGCACCGUUUGGAACUCCAGCCUCGCUGUUCCUUCCCUCACUGCCAUUCUCCUCAUCCUCCCCUGCUCCUCCACACCCACCAAGAAGAUCAUGCCUCCCUGCUCGCCU
This 16425-nucleotide long non-coding RNA is filed under the name Triticum aestivum (bread wheat). RNAcentral describes it as "long non-coding RNA (TAES_LNC014560)". Lineage: Eukaryota; Viridiplantae; Streptophyta; Magnoliopsida; Poales; Poaceae. The record is from RNAcentral.